GCGGUUUGAUCCUGGCUCAGAGCGAACGCUGGCGGCGUGCCUAACACAUGCAAGUCGAACGUGAAAGGGAGCAAUCCUGAGUAAAGUGGCGUACGGGUGAGUAACGCGUAGGUAAUCUACCCCAGAGUCUGGAAUAACCGGCCGAAAGGCUGGCUAAUACUGGAUAGAGCGACGGAAUCCGUAAUUGGGUUUUUCGGGAAAGGGAGGAAGCAAUUCCCUUUGCUCUGGGAUGAGCCUGCGUCUCAUUAGCUAGUUGGCGGGGUAGUGGCCCACCAAGGCUUUGAUGGGUAGCUGGUCUGAGAGGAUGAUCAGCCACACUGGAACUGAAACACGGUCCAGACUCCUACGGGAGGCAGCAGUGGGGAAUCUUGCGCAAUGGACGAAAGUCUGACGCAGCCACGCCGCGUGAGUGAAGAAGGCCUUCGGGUUGUAAAGCUCUGUCGAGCGGGACGAAAAACGGUCAGGUGAAUAGCCUGAUCGUCUGACGGUACCGCUAAAGGAAGCACCGGCUAACUCCGUGCCAGCAGCCGCGGUAAUAACCUAAAUAGC
This 549-nucleotide ribosomal RNA is filed under the name uncultured bacterium. RNAcentral describes it as "bacterial SSU rRNA". It matches the Rfam family "Bacterial small subunit ribosomal RNA", at positions 9 to 535 of the family's 1533-position model. The record is from RNAcentral.